Molecule: ribosomal RNA, 419 nt
Filed under: uncultured ammonia-oxidizing beta proteobacterium
Lineage: Bacteria; Pseudomonadati; Pseudomonadota; Betaproteobacteria
Description: bacterial SSU rRNA
Rfam family: Bacterial small subunit ribosomal RNA
Source: RNAcentral
UGGAGGAAAGUAGGGGAUCGUAAGACCUUGCGCUUUUGGAGUGGCCGAUGCCUGAUUAGCUAGUUGGUGGGGUAAAGGCCUACCAAGGCGACGAUCAGUAGUUGGUCUGAGAGGACGACCAGCCACACUGGGACUGAGACACGGCCCAGACUCCUACGGGAGGCAGCAGUGGGGAAUUUUGGACAAUGGGCGAAAGCCUGAUCCAGCAAUGCCGCGUGAGUGAAGAAGGCCUUCGGGUUGUAAAGCUCUUUCAGUCGAGAAGAAAAGAUUGUGAUGAAUAAUCACAGUUCAUGACGGUAUCGACAGAAGAAGCACCGGCUAACUACGUGCCAGCAGCCGCGGUAAUACGUAGGGUGCAAGCGUUAAUCGGAAUUACUGGGCGUAAAGGGUGCGCAGGCGGCUUUGUAAGUCAGAUGUGA